Molecule: ribosomal RNA, 497 nt
Filed under: uncultured bacterium
Lineage: Bacteria
Description: partial 16S ribosomal RNA
Rfam family: Bacterial small subunit ribosomal RNA
Source: RNAcentral
ACUCAAAUGAAUAGACGGGGGCCCGCACAAGCGGUGGAGCAUGUGGUUUAAUUCGAUGCAACGCGAAGAACCUUACCUACCUUUGAAUCCACAGAAUCCUUUAGAGAUAGAGGAGUGCCUUCGGGAACUGUGAGACAGGUGCUGCAUGGCUGUCGUCAGCUCGUGUCGUGAGAUGUUGGGUUAAGUCCCGUAACGAGCGCAACCCUUGCCCUUAGUUGCUACAGGUAAAGCUGAGUACUUUAAGGGGACUGCCGGUGAUAAACCGGAGGAAGGCGGGGAUGAUGUCAAGUCAUCAUGGCCCUUACAGGUAGGGCUACACACGUGCUACAAUGGACGGUACAAAGGGUCGCGAACCCGCGAGGGGGAGCCAAUCUCAUAAAGCCGUUCGUAGUCCGGAUUGGAGUCUGCAACUCGACUCCAUGAAGCUGGAAUCGCUAGUAAUCGUGGAUCAGCACGCCACGGUGAAUACGUUCCCGGGCCUUGUACACACCGCCCGU